RNAcentral lists this non-coding RNA (181 nucleotides) under Desulfuromonadaceae bacterium GWC2_58_13. RNAcentral's name for it is "6S RNA". It matches the Rfam family "6S / SsrS RNA". From Rfam's summary of the family: E. coli 6S RNA was the first non coding RNA to be sequenced, but its function was unknown until recently. It consists of 184 nucleotides that fold into an extended hairpin structure with a large single-stranded internal bulge. Lineage: Bacteria; Pseudomonadati; Thermodesulfobacteriota; Desulfuromonadia; Desulfuromonadales; Desulfuromonadaceae. The record is from RNAcentral.
GACUCUCUGCCCUGCAAGUGUGGUCAGAACGCCCCGGCGGAAUAAUUUUAAUCAGGGAUCGCUUCAGGAGUGUUGUGUGCCUGCCCAUCGUUGAAUGGGACGCCUGAUACGCUCACAAGAGGUUCCACCUUAUUGGGACUCGCUGGGAGGCCCAAUGUCCCACGGCAGGCGUGGAGAGUUU